Molecule: RNA transcript, 1313 nt
Organism: Daphnia pulex (common water flea)
Lineage: Eukaryota; Metazoa; Arthropoda; Branchiopoda; Diplostraca; Daphniidae
Exons: 3
Source: RefSeq, a predicted model, not a curated record
GCUAAGAACUGGAUAGAAAUGGAGGCGAAGUCGGCCAAGGCCGCGAGAGUGUGCUAAAGUUUUACCUAGCGGUAACGCUUUAAUUUUGACACGCAGGUUCAGCAACCGGCUAGGAAUCGGUACUUAGAUUAGAUUGCGUGUUGACACUCGUUUUAAGUAGGAUGCGUAGGAUGAUCAAGUUAAGUGUUUUUUUAUGACCACUUAAAUUAACCUUAAGAAAUUUAAAUCGCUGCAAACUUUUUUAAGGUUCUUAGGAUAUUCUUGAAUCUUGAAUGAAAAAAGUAUAAUAGUUCACAUUUUCUAAAAAAAAAAAGCAAAAUAGAUUUCCUAAACUCUUUCUUGUGUAUUGCAAAAAAAUAUUUAACACAUCUCUAAAAGAUAAUUAAAAAAUUACCUCCAGCAAAUCAUUGACUAAUGAGCAAUUUAAGACUUUGAUUUUGCAAAGUCUUCAGUGAAUAGAAAGCAGACGAGUACUUGAAACUAAACCAUCAAAACUACCAACUUAAACUUAUCAACUUAUCAUAAAUCAAACUUACCAACAAACACAAUAUCUGGAAUUUAAAGACUAAAUUGCAGUGUUUCUCCACUUAUUCCAUGCAGCCCUUUUGGCAUUGAGACACCAUCGAGUCGACGUCAGCGAAAUCAUCAGAAUUUUUUCGGCAAAACCUGGCAGCACGUAUAUACCCCCACGCGAGCCGCCAGCAAUAAACGUUCUGGCAAUAUAGCAGCAGCAGCAACAACAAUGCCGUUUCGGGACCCGCCUUUAAUGCUGUUUCCGUGUACAGCCCGACCCAGGCCAAGUCCAGGCUAUUCCCGAAAGACGUCCCAACACGUUCGUCAAGGUGUAGAAGACCGCAGCAUAGCUGAGGGCGUAGUGCGUCGCAGUCUCCAACAUCCAGGUGUCCACCGCCCACCUAUAAACACUCAGUUAUAUCGCUUAUUUUAGUUUUCAAAUCGAAAACGUAUUAUUUCCCUUCUUUUUUAUUUCCUUCAACAUUCCAAAACGUCAUCCAGUUAUACCCAGCAGCUCUUUUAUUAUGAGGCAAUUCUUCCAAACCCUUUUCUCCAUUUUUUACGAAUCAUCAAUGCGACUUACCGCAAUUUCUUUUAAACGUAGGCGAUUUCGCCAUCCAAACUUUUAUGUUUUCUUCCUUUUUAAAAUUUCUUUUUCUUCCUUUCGGCCGCUAAAAAAAAUAAACUCAGUGUUUAUUCUUUUUAUAGUAUAACCUUUUGGUAUAAGCUAUCUUAUCCGCGUGCGUGACUGACAAAAAGGUUUGUUUAUUUUUGCCAAGAAAAGAAUAUGUUUUUUUUUA